This 109-nucleotide small RNA is filed under the name Salix viminalis (osier). Lineage: Eukaryota; Viridiplantae; Streptophyta; Magnoliopsida; Malpighiales; Salicaceae. The record is from RNAcentral.
GCUAAUCACCAUUGGAAAGUUGAUUAAAAUGGUUAGUUUUCCCGUGUUUUUGUCUUGCAGAAAGAUAAGAGCUCGAUUAUUCAAAUGGCAGCAAAGAGAAUUCAGGAGC